GAUGAACGCUGGCGGCGUGCCUAAUACAUGCAAGUCGAGCGAACGGACGAGAAGCUUGCUUCUCUGAUGUUAGCGGCGGACGGGUGAGUAACACGUGGAUAACCUACCUAGAAGACUGGGAUAACGUCGGGAAACCGGAGCUAAUACCGGAUAAUAUUUUGAACCGCAUGGUUCAAAAGUGAAAGACGGUCUUGCUGUCACUUAUAGAUGGAUCCGCGCUGCAUUAGCUAGUUGGUAAGGUAACGGCUUACCAAGGCAACGAUGCAUAGCCGACCUGAGAGGGUGAUCGGCCACACUGGAACUGAGACACGGUCCAGACUCCUACGGGAGGCAGCAGUAGGGAAUCUUCCGCAAUGGGCGAAAGCCUGACGGAGCAACGCCGCGUGAGUGAUGAAGGUCUUCGGAUCGUAAAACUCUGUUAUUAGGGAAGAACAUAUGUGUAAGUAACUGUGCACAUCUUGACGGUACCUAAUCAGAAAGCCACGGCUAACUACGUG
RNAcentral lists this ribosomal RNA (497 nucleotides) under uncultured bacterium. Its description in RNAcentral is "partial 16S ribosomal RNA". It matches the Rfam family "Bacterial small subunit ribosomal RNA", at positions 28 to 507 of the family's 1533-position model. The record is from RNAcentral.